GAAACGACUGCUAAUACCGCAUAAGCCCACGACCCGGCAUCGGGUAGAGGGAAAAGGAGCAAUCCGCUUUGGGAUGGCCUCGCGUCCGAUUAGCUAGUUGGUGAGGUAACGGCCCACCAAGGCGACGAUCGGUAGCCGGACUGAGAGGUUGAACGGCCACAUUGGGACUGAGACACGGCCCAGACUCCUACGGGAGGCAGCAGUGGGGAAUAUUGCACAAUGGGGGAAACCCUGAUGCAGCGACGCCGCGUGGAGGAAGAAGGUCUUCGGAUUGUAAACUCCUGUUGUUGAGGAAGAUAAUGACGGUACUCAACAAGGAAGUGACGGCUAACUACGUGCCAGCAGCCGCGGUAAAACGUAGGUCACAAGCGUUGUCCGGAAUUACUGGGUGUAAAGGGAGCGCAGGCGGGAAGACAAGUUGGAAGUGAAAUCCAUGGGCUCAACCCAUGAACUGCUUUCAAAACUGUUUUUCUUGAGUAGUGCAGAGGUAGGCGGAAUUCCCGGUGUAGCGGUGGAAUGCGUAGAUAUCGGGAGGAACACCAGUGGCGAAGGCGGCCUACUGGGCACCAACUGACGCUGAGGCUCGAAAGUGUGGGUAGCAAACAGGAUUAGAUACCCUGGUAGUCCACACUGUAAACGAUGAUUACUAGGUGUUGGAGGAUUGACCCCUUCAGUGCCGCAGUUAACACAAUAAGUAAUCCACCUGGGGAGUACGACCGCAAGGUUGAAACUCAAAGGAAUUGACGGGGGCCCGCACAAGCAGUGGAGUAUGUGGUUUAAUUCGACGCAACGCGAAGAACCUUACCAAGUCUUGACAUCCUGCGACGCACAUAGAAAUAUGUGUUCUCCUUCGGGACGCAGAGACAGGUGGUGCAUGGUUGUCGUCAGCUCGUGUCGUGGGAUGUUGGGUUAAGUCCCGCAACGAGCGCAACCCUUAUGGUCAGUUACUACGCAAGAGGACUCUGGCCAGACUGCCGUUGACAAAACGGAGGAAGGUGGGGAUGACGUCAAAUCAUCAUGCCCUUUAUGACUUGGGCUACACACGUACUACAAUGGCGUUAAACAAAGAGAAGCAAGACCGCGAGGUGGAGCAAAACUCAGAAACAACGUCCCAGUUCGGACUGCAGGCUGCAACUCGCCUGCACGAAGUCGGAAUUGCUAGUAAUCGCAGAUCAGCAUGCUGCGGUGAAUACGUUCCCGGGCCUUGUACACACCGCCCGUCACACCAUGAGAGCCGGGGGGACCCGAAGUCGGUAGUCUAACCGCAAGGAGGACGCCGCCGAAGGUAAAACUGGUGAUUGGGGUGAAGUCGUAACAAGGUAGCCGUAGGAGAACCUGCGGCUG
Molecule: ribosomal RNA, 1344 nt
Filed under: metagenome
Description: bacterial SSU rRNA
Rfam family: Bacterial small subunit ribosomal RNA
Source: RNAcentral